Molecule: long non-coding RNA, 575 nt
Organism: Saimiri boliviensis boliviensis (Bolivian squirrel monkey)
Lineage: Eukaryota; Metazoa; Chordata; Mammalia; Primates; Cebidae
Source: RefSeq, a predicted model, not a curated record
GUAUGGGUACCUGAUGAGAAAGGGGUCCUGGUUCUUCCUUAUAGCUUAUCUCCUGCCUACCCUGGCUGGGCUCUGACCCACCCAGCAGGCUGGGGUCCUCUUCUGUAUGAUAAGGAAACUGAGGCUUAGAGGAGUUGUGAAACUGCCCACAGUUUCACAGCUAAAAUGUAUAAGGACCUGGACUUUCAAAUUUGGCACAAAGUCCUUCUUAUAAGAAGGCCAUAAAAUGACCAAAUAAUUUUUUAUAUGCCUAUAGAACCAAAAGAACUAUUUCAGAAUAUCAGCUGAAAACCACAAUAUUCCAGACAGCUUAGAUACUUUGGCAUGGGGCCUUCCUGGAAAGCUGGAUUGCAUCUAAAACCCUGUGGCAGAGGGAGAAACCACAGACAAGCCAUCCUGAGAAAACUCAGGCUGGGACUAAAGCUCUGCUCUCCAGGGACAAAGUAGCAGGAGACCAGCCAUGCUUAGAGACACUCCACUAGCCAGUGCAACAUUGUUCUGAGCAAUUUCACUUGCUUCCACAUGACCUGCCCCACUAACACUUCUAUUAUAGUGGCAAAUAAAUCCAUACCCAA